UUAGGAACUUCGGCAAUGGGACGAAAGUCUGACGGGAGCAACGCCCGCGUGAGUGAUGAAGGCUUUCGGGUCGUAAAACUCUGUUGUUAGGGAAAAACAAGUGCUAGUUGAAUAAGCUGGCACCUUGACGGUACCUAACCAAAAAGCCACGGCUAACUACGUGCCAGCAGCCGCGGUAAUACGUAGGUGGCAAGCGUUAUCCGGAAUUAUUGGGCGUAAAGCGCGCGCAGGUGGUUUCUUAAGUCUGAUGUGAAAGCCCACGGCUCAACCGUGGAGGGUCAUUGGAAACUGGGAGACUUGAGUGCAGAAGAGGAAAGUGAAAUUCCAUGUGUAGCGGUGAAAUGCGUAGAGAUAUGGAGGAACACCAGUGGCGAAGGCGACUUUCUGGUCUGUAACUGACACUGAGGCGCGAAAGCGUGGGGAGCAAACAGAAUUAGAUACCCUGGUAACUCCACGCAG
This 459-nucleotide ribosomal RNA is filed under the name Bacillus subtilis. RNAcentral describes it as "bacterial SSU rRNA". It matches the Rfam family "Bacterial small subunit ribosomal RNA", at positions 355 to 802 of the family's 1533-position model. The record is from RNAcentral. Lineage: Bacteria; Bacillati; Bacillota; Bacilli; Caryophanales; Bacillaceae.